GCGGAGAUGCCCGAGUUGGUCCAAGGGGGUAGACUUAAGAUCUACUGUACAUAGUACGCACGGGUUCGAACCCCGUUCUCCGCA
Molecule: non-coding RNA, 84 nt
Organism: Cymbomonas tetramitiformis
Lineage: Eukaryota; Viridiplantae; Chlorophyta; Pyramimonadophyceae; Pyramimonadales; Pyramimonadaceae
Source: the annotation of a GenBank genome assembly